Molecule: ribosomal RNA, 511 nt
Filed under: uncultured bacterium
Lineage: Bacteria
Description: bacterial SSU rRNA
Rfam family: Bacterial small subunit ribosomal RNA
Source: RNAcentral
CGCUGGCGGCGUGCCUAAUACAUGCAAGUCGAACGGUCUUUCUAUGGAAGCUUGCUUCCACUGAGAAGAUAGUGGCGAGCGGGUGAGUAACACGUGGGUAACCUGCCCAUAAGAGGGGGAUAACAUCCGGAAACGGGUGCUAAUACCGCAUAGUUUUCUUGAUCGCAUGAUCGGGAAAGGAAAGACGGCCUUUGUGCUGUCGCUUAUGGAUGGACCCGCGGCGUAUUAGUUAGUUGGUGAGGUAACGGCUCACCAAGACGAUGAUACGUAGCCGACCUGAGAGGGUGAUCGGCCACAUUGGGACUGAGACACGGCCCAAACUCCUACGGGAGGCAGCAGUAGGGAAUCUUCCGCAAUGGACGAAAGUCUGACGGAGCAACGCCGCGUGAGUGAAGAAGGUUUUCGGAAUCGUAAAACUCUGUUGUCAGAGAAGAACAAGUUGGAGAGUAACUGCUCCAGCCUUGACGGUAUCUGACCAGAAAGCCACGGCUAACUACGUGCCAGCAGCUGC